ACGCAGUUUUUGAUACUUUGAAAGACAGUCCUAGAAAACAGAGAACUCGUGUGUGAGAACAGGGUGGAUACAUGUUUUGAUACAUGUUUGAUACCCAGGCUAACUUCAUCGAUAGUCUGGACGAAUAUGCUAUAUUAGGUCUUAGGAAUUCUGACACUUUGAUUAUUUUAUAGAUACGGUCCUGUGUGGCUGCGAUUUAGUUCAAUCUAUCAUUUUGAAUUCAUUCCCAGGUUAGAACGACCAAGUCAUGGGGCCCUGGACGCUAUACAAAAAGUCUAUCACACGCGGCACUUUUUAGAGCCACUAAAUAUUUUAAACAAGGAGCUUCUUUCAACUAUGUUCAGCAAUAUUUAUUGUUUACUUGCUGAUUGUCAAUUUAUUAUCUUUAAAACCUCUAUCUUUCUAUUAUAUUUUUGAUUAUUCAUACUGAACUUAUUAUGGAAUAUUUUGAAGAUAUGAAAUAAAGUAUAGGAAACUGA
Hylaeus volcanicus is the source of this 479-nucleotide long non-coding RNA. RefSeq lists it as uncharacterized. The transcript is spliced from 2 exons. The record is from RefSeq and is a predicted model, not a curated record. NCBI's taxonomy places the organism in Eukaryota, Metazoa, Arthropoda, Insecta, Hymenoptera, Colletidae.